AACAAAUGGUGAGAUGAACCAGGAAGGGGUUUAGUGAAAAGAUCAGCAAUUUGAAAUGAGGAAGGGAGAAAAGAGAGUGAAAUGAGACCGUUGAGAUAUUGUUGGCGGACGAAGUGACAAUCCAAAUCAACAUGUUUCGUCUGCUCAUGAAAGACUGGGUUUUUGGCUAUAUGAAUCGCGGCUUGGCUGUCGGAAUGAAGGGAAAUGGGCAAAGAAGGCGGGAAUGAGAGAUCUGAAAGAAGACGGGCAAGCCAAGUCAACUCCGCAACAACCCGUCGCAUAGAUCUGUACUCAGCUUCGGCAGAGGACAGUGAAACAGAUGGUUGUUUUUUUGAUUUCCAAGAAAUAGGACUUCCCCCAAGGCUGAUGUAGAAGCCACUCACAGAUCGCCGAGAGUCAGGGCAAGCAGCCCAGUCAGAGUCGCAGAAGGCCAGCAAAGUGAAAGAAGAGGAAGAAUUCAGAAAAAUACCUAAAUUUGGAUAAGCUAGGAGAUAACGGAGAACAUGAUAUGCAGCUAUAAGAUGCGCUUGAUGAGGUUGUUGCAUAUACUGGCUGAGAUGUUGAACUGAAAAUGAGAUGUCCGGGCGAGUAUGAGUCAAAAAAUCCAGUUGGCCGAUUAACCUACGAUAAGGUGUUGCAUCUGGUAAUGGAGAACCCAUAUCCGCCUGCAACCGCUUAGUGGGAUCCAAAGGUGAAUGAGCAGGCUUGAGACCAAGACAGUGAUACUCAGAAAGAAGUUCCAGAAGGAACUUUCGUUGGUUAAGAAUCAGACCAUGAGGCUCCCUAAUAACUUCAAUACCCAAAAAAUAAUGUAAGUCCCCCAAAUCUUUGAUUUUAAAUUCAGAGUCCAAAAACAAUUUAAGAGCAUCAAAUUCUUCCUUGUUGUUGCCUGUAAGUAAAAUGUCAUCAACAUAGACGGCUAAGAUAGAGAUAGAGGAGUCAUGACAUUUAUAAAAUAGGGAAUAGUCAUUCAAUGAGUGAGUAAAACCCUUGAAAUUCAAAGCUGCCGUCAAACGAGCAUACCAUUGUCUCGAUGCUUGUUUCAAGCCGUAAAGAGACUUCUUCAAUAGACAGACCUGAGUAGGAUCAGUGACUUUCAAACCUGCUGGAAAUUUCAUAUAAACUUCCUCAUCCAAGUCACUAUGAAGAAGUGCGUUGUUGACAUCUAACUGAUAUAGGCCCCAUCCUUUCUUAAUUGCAAUAACAAGCACACAUCGAAUAGUCGUAAUCUUCACAACAGGGCUAAAAGUCUCUGUAAAAUCAAUACCUUCCUUUUGAAUAUCUCCUCGAACAACCAAACGAGCCUUAAGACGUUCAAGACAUCCCGAGGAAUUCAAUUUAACCUUGUAGACCCAUUUAUUAGGCAAAGCCUUCUUACCAGGAGGUAAAGAGACUACUUCCCAAGUGUCAUUGGUGAUCAAAGCCUCAAGUUCUUUAGUCAUAGCAUCCUGCCAACCUGGGUAUAAAACAACUUGGGAAAAAGAGACAGGUUCUUGAAUAUAGGAUAAAGAAGUAAUGUAGGCUUGAUUGGCGGGAGAGAGUGCAGAAAAAGCAAGAGGGCAAACAGGAGGAGGAGAAGAAAAACACAGGUCAGACAUUUUAGAAAGAUAGACACUAUUGCAGAUAUAAUCCUGAAGAUACCUCCUUAAGACAAUAGGAUUAGGAAGAGGAAGGGAAGUCGAAAGGGGAGAGAUGGAACCAGAGGAUAAACGAUCAGAAAUAAUAGGAGUAACAGGAAUGGAAGGAGUAAUAGGAGGUGGGACAAUAGGUGGGGAAAUAGAGUCACAAGGGACAUGAGUAGCAGGAGUAUCAAAUGAAAAAAUGGGAACAGAAAGUUGAGCUGAUGCAAAAGGAUAUAUAUCUUCAAAGAACUUAACAUUUCUGGAGAUGAAAUAUUUCUGAGAAUGCAAACUCAAUAAUUUGUAUCCUUUCUUUUCAAAAGGAUACCCAAGAAAAACACAAGGUUCGGCUCUAGGUGCUAAUUUAGAUCUUCCUUGUGAGAGUGUAGAGGCAAAAACAAGACAGCCAAAACAUUUCAAAUGAGAAUAAGUAGGAGGAUGUAGGAAUAGUCUUUCAUAUGGUGUUUUGAAGGAGAACAACUUAGUGGGGCAUCUAUUAAUAAGAUAGGUUGCAGUCAUAAGAGCAUCUCCUCAAAAUUUGUGUGGAAGAUGGGAUUGAAAAAGUAAAGCCCUACAAACUUCCAAAAGAUGUUUAUGUUUCCUUUCGACCACACCAUUUUGUUGUGGUGUGGCUACACAAGAGGUUUGAUGGAUGAUUCCUUGAGAAGAGAGAAAUUUAGAGUGUUCAUAACUGGACCCUAACUCCCAAGCAUUAUCAGAUCUGAUUAUUUUAACCUUUUUGUUGAACUGUCUGUCUACCAUGGCCAAAAAGGACUUGAGUAUAGGGAAAGCAUUGCUUUUAGUGGUAAGUAAAAAUGUCCAGGUACCCCUACUGAAAUCGUCAACAAUGGUCAAAAAAUAUUUAAAACCAUCAUAAAUAGGUGUUUGAAAAGGCCCCCAUGUGUCAAUAUGAAUUAAUUCAAAAAUCUCUUUAGAAGUAAUCUGACUGUUAGGAAAAGAAAGUUUGUGUUGCUUUGCUAAAGGACAAAUAGAACAAGGAACAGAGAAUUUAGAACAAACUGAAACUGGAAUUUCAUUAAUAUGUUGAAUAUUAGAGAGGGGCAUAUGCCCUAACCUUACAUGCCAUAACUUGCUCUUAACAUCAUUAAUGGAAAUACAAGAUAAACUGGAUGUAAAAUCCUUGAAGGAAUGAAAACUAGAACUAGAAUUUGCAGAAGAAAUAAUUGGAAGACUACUCUUGAGAACAUAAAGACCAUUCUGACUUUCACCAAGGAGCAUUAGGCUCUUCAUUGAAGGGCCCUGCAUGAAACAAUGAGAAGAGGUGAAAAAUAAUAGGUUAGAAAAUUGUUUGCACAAUUUGUGGACAGAUAAAAGGUUGAAGUGAAAGCUAGGAAUAAACAAAACAUUGUGAAUAAUUAAAUUAGAGAAAAGUUUGACAGAUCCUGAGUGAUUAACCUGAAUUUUUUGAGAAUUAGGCAAACUAACAUAAAUAGAUUUAGGCAGAGGUUUGAAAUGGAAAAAGAAAUCCUUGUUAUAGCUCAUGUGCUCAGUUGCACCUGAAUCUAUUAUCCAAUUAUUCCUAUUGUAAGAUUUAGGAUUAGCAUGUAAAUUUAAGGAGAAAGGAUUGGGACAUAGAGUUAUACCAGCACAGUUAACAGAAGUUAUUGCCUCAGAAUUGUUGGUGCCUUGGUCACUGUUUUUCACAUGCUGAAGCAUUUGCAUCACUUGAGCUAGUUGUUCUGCAGAAAGUAGUUUUCCUUGAUCUGUCGGCUCUUUAUCAAGUAAGAAAGGGUCUCCAGAGAACUCAUUUGAGGUUACUGCAUGUCCCUGAGCAGAACUCUGAAAAACUUUUUGCCUAGUGAACUUAAAGUUUGGUGGAAAACCAUGCAACUUAGCAUUUUUCAACAAGAUGUCCUGGUUUCUUACAAUAUUUACAGAAGAGAGGGGAUUUUUUGUUAUCAUAAGAAACUCUCUGUGCCCUGAAAUCAGUAGAAAAUGACCUUUGUCCAGCAUUGGCUUGGUUAGCCACAACAAAAGAGGAUGAUUCUCCAGGAAAUUUUGGGGUAUUUUGUACUUCUCUUUGUUUUUCUUCCUGAACCAGCAGUGCAUAAGCAUUUGAAAUAGAGGGUAAAGGUGAUAUCAUUAGAAUAUUACCUCUGGAAGUACAAUAAGAGUCAUUAAGCCCCAUUAGAAAUUUGACUAGACGUUCAUCUUGCGUGGACUUAAUGUUUUUCUCUUUUGCUCCACAGGAACACACACAAGCACAAAGAGUGAAGGAAUCCAAAGUAUCCAACUCAUCCCAGAUUCGUUUGAUUUUGGUAUAAUAAGCAGCAAUAUCAGAUGACCCUUGGACAAGAUCACUGAGAUCCUUUUGAAGUUGAAAGAGUCGAGGCCCAGAACUCUGGCCAAACCUGUCUUCUAAUUCUGCCCAGAUGUCUUUAGCAGUAGAGUAGUACAAAACACUUUCAGAAAUAUCUCUAGAAAGAGAGUUUAAUAAUCAGGAAAUUACCAUAUUGUUGGAUCUAGACC
Molecule: long non-coding RNA, 4109 nt
Filed under: Solanum tuberosum (potato)
Lineage: Eukaryota; Viridiplantae; Streptophyta; Magnoliopsida; Solanales; Solanaceae
Description: long non-coding RNA (STUB_LNC010997)
Source: RNAcentral